This 228-nucleotide ribosomal RNA is filed under the name uncultured bacterium. Its description in RNAcentral is "partial 16S ribosomal RNA". It matches the Rfam family "Bacterial small subunit ribosomal RNA", at positions 568 to 795 of the family's 1533-position model. The record is from RNAcentral.
UGCGCAGGCGGAAUAUUAAGUCAGUGGUGAAAUCCUACAGCUCAACUGUAGAACUGCCAUUGAUACUGAUAUUCUUGAGUAUAGUUGUAGUGGGCGGAAUAUGCCAUGUAGCGGUGAAAUGCUUAGAUAUGACAUAGAACACCGAUCGCGAAGGCAGCUCACUAAACUAUAACUGACGCUCAGGCACGAAAGCGUGGGGAGCAAACAGGAUUAGAUACCCUGGUAGUC